Molecule: ribosomal RNA, 441 nt
Filed under: uncultured bacterium
Lineage: Bacteria
Description: bacterial SSU rRNA
Rfam family: Bacterial small subunit ribosomal RNA
Source: RNAcentral
GCUAAACGCGAAGAACCUUACCGGGGCUUGACAUCUUUCUGACCGCCUGGGAAACCUGGUCUUCUUCCUUCGGGAAGACGGAAAGACAGGUGGUGCAUGGUUGUCGUCAGCUCGUGUCGUGAGAUGUUGGGUUAAGUCCCGUAACGAGCGCAACCCUUAUUGUUAGUUGCCAUCAUUUAGUUGGGCACUCUAAUGAGACUGCCGGUGUUAAGCCGGAGGAAGGUGGGGACGACGUCAAGUCAUCAUGGCCCUUACGUGUGGGGCUACAAACGUGCUACAAUGGUGGUGACAGUGAGCAGCCAGGCCGCGAGGUCGAGCUAAUCUCUAAAAACCAUCUCAGUUCGGAUUGUUCUCUGCAACUCGAGAGCAUGAAGUUGGAAUCGCUAGUAAUCGCGCAUCAGCAUGUCGCGGUGAAUACGUUCCCGGGUCUUGUACACACCG